AGACAGCGUGUUGCCGUCAAGCUCUCCCAGCCCCAGCGCAAGGCCGGGGAUGCUCGCGGGACGGUGGCCAUCAGUCCGCCGCGGCGAAAGGAAGAGCCAAGCCCGGGGCAGGAGCGGGCGGGGAGCGCGCCCCCGCCCCGCUGCGCUCCCCGCGGACCCUCAGCCUCGUUGGUGCAGUGGUUCUUAACAGUUCAACAGUUCUCUAGCAUAAUUGUGAAAUGUUUAGGACCACUUGACCAGCGAGGCCCGGGCAUCGGCGGCAGCGGCGGAGACCUGCAGCGCCCGCGGCGGAGCGAGCCGGAGCGGGGGAGCCGCCGGGCCGGCCCCGGGAGGAGGAGCCGGAGCCAGGGCCGGGAGCCGGCGGGAACGGCCCGGCCCGGCCCCGCAGCCCCUGGGACGGGCGGCGAGGAGAGGCAGGGCCGGACCAGCACCCACCGCCGGCCGCGGGUCCCGCUCCGGGAUGGCGGAGUGAGCAAAGACAGGGCAAGUGCUUAAAAAGAAAAAAAAAAUAUUACUGCGUGUCCUGUGGGAACUGAGGAGUUUAAUAACUUAAAAGGAACAGGUAGGAUAAAUACUGCUGCAGCUGCUGUCAUCUGGCUGUGCUAGAGGCAGGCUGGUACAUUUACUGCAUAACCAUCUGUUCUCUCCUUUAUCUGCACCAUACACUCAGAUGCACAGAUUAAAAAAAAAAAAAUCAGAUUGACUCUCCAGGCUGCAUUCUCCAGAGGCUUCCCACCUUUCCACUGGUAAUAAUAUGCAAGAUGUAUUCAGUGAUAGCACUUCUUUGUCUUUGAGUGCCUUUUUACUUAGGGCAGCAUAGCCUUUCUCUUGUGCUGUUUUAUACUGUAUUUUCUGUAGGUACACUUACUGCAGGCAGCUAAAGGACAUCUGGACUUUCUGUCCUAACUUGACUUUCUGUCCUAGCUUGGUUGAAUUACUUCAGAGGAUGUCUGCUCUUAGAACUGUGGCAAUGAUGGCCUGGCUUGAAGGUCUGUGGACUUAAUCAAAUCGACAUUAGAGAAAAUCCUGGAUCUUUCAAAAUACAGCUGAAGAAUUUGAUUUUUUAAAAAGAGGAGGGGAAACAAAGAAGUCUGAAAACUGCAAUUCUUCCAACAAUUUAUUUUUCUUAUAGAAGUGUAGCAGGUACUUUAGCUUGGUAAAUAAGAGGUUCUUCUUACCUUGUGCUCAUUCUUCUCACCCGUAUCCCAAGUAUCAAACUGAAACUAGAAAUGUAACAGGUUUCUUUUUAUUUUUCUUAAUUUGCAGUUAAAUAAAAAGGGCAAUAGACUAAUUCA
This 1295-nucleotide long non-coding RNA is filed under the name Junco hyemalis (dark-eyed junco). Its description in RNAcentral is "lncRNA (ENSJHYG00000012218.1)". The stretch from base 163 to 242 matches the Rfam family "mir-203 microRNA precursor family". The record is from RNAcentral. Lineage: Eukaryota; Metazoa; Chordata; Aves; Passeriformes; Passerellidae.